This 439-nucleotide ribosomal RNA is filed under the name uncultured bacterium. RNAcentral's name for it is "partial 16S ribosomal RNA". It matches the Rfam family "Bacterial small subunit ribosomal RNA", at positions 338 to 795 of the family's 1533-position model. The record is from RNAcentral.
CCUACGGGUGGCAGCAGUGAGGAAUAUUGGGCAAUGGAGGCAACUCUGACCCAGCCAUGCCGCGUGAGUGAAGAAGGUUUUCGGAUUGUAAAGCUCUUUCGGAUGUGACGAUGAUGACGGUAGCAUCUAAAGAAGCCCCGGCUAACUUCGUGCCAGCAGCCGCGGUAAUACGAAGGGGGCAAGCGUUGUUCGGAUUUACUGGGCGUAAAGGGAGUGUAGGCGGUCUGUUAAGUCAGCGGUCAACGCCCGGGGCUCAACCCCGGCCCGCCGUUGAAACGGGCAGUCUCGAGUUGGAGAGAAGUAUGCGGAAUGCGCGGUGUAGCGGUGAAAUGCAUAGAUAUCGCGCAGAACUCCGAUUGCGAAGGCAGCAUGCCGGCUCCACACUGACACUGAGGCACGAAAGCGUGGGUAUCGAACAGGAUUAGAUACCCUUGUAGUC